AAAGGAAUUGACGGGACCCCGUACAAGCGGUGGAUCAUGUUGUUUAAUUCGAUGAUACGCGAAGAACCUUACCAGGUCUUGACAUCCCCCGCGAUGCUUUAGAGAUAAAGCGGAGGUAUUCGGGGAGACAGGUGGUGCAUGGUUGUCGUCAGCUCGUGUCGUGAGAUGUUGGGUUAAGUCCCGCAACGAGCGCAACCCCUAUUGCUAGUUACCAUCAUUAAGUUGGGGACUCUAGCGAGACUGCCAGUGAUAAACUGGAGGAAGGUGGGGAUGACGUCAAAUCAUCAUGCCCCUUAUGACCUGGGCUACAAACGUGAUACAAUGGCUGGAACAAAGGGAUGCGAAGCAGUGAUGUGGAGCGAAACCCAUAAAAACAGUCUCAGUUCGGAUUGAAGUCUGCAACUCGACUUCAUGAAGUCGGAAUCGCUAGUAAUCGCGGAUCAGAACGCCGCGGUGAAUACGUUCUCGGGGUUU
Molecule: ribosomal RNA, 474 nt
Filed under: uncultured Acholeplasma sp.
Lineage: Bacteria; Bacillati; Mycoplasmatota; Mollicutes; Acholeplasmatales; Acholeplasmataceae
Description: bacterial SSU rRNA
Rfam family: Bacterial small subunit ribosomal RNA
Source: RNAcentral